RNAcentral lists this ribosomal RNA (776 nucleotides) under uncultured organism. Its description in RNAcentral is "bacterial SSU rRNA". It matches the Rfam family "Bacterial small subunit ribosomal RNA", at positions 39 to 803 of the family's 1533-position model. The record is from RNAcentral.
GCGGCGCGCUUACACAUGCAAGUCGAACGAGAAAGCCCCUUCUGGUGUGAGUACAAUGGCGCCCGGGUUAAUAACACCUGAGUAACCUGACCUUUGGUGAGGAACAACAUCUGGAAACGGAUGCUAAUACCUUAUAAGUCAAUUUCGGUCGGGAAAGAUGGCAUUAGCUAUCGCCAUGGGAUGGGCCUGCGUCCCAUCACCUAGUUGGGAGGGUAACGGACUACCACGGCGACGACUGGUAGCUUGUCUGAGCAUGAUAAUCAACCACACUGGAACUGAGACACGAUCCAGACUCCAUACCGUAGGCAACAGCUGGGGAAUAUAGCUCAGUGGGCGAAAUCCUAACGCUAACGACGCCGUGUGAGUGAUGAAAGCUCACGGGGUCAUAGAGCUCUUGUCGUAGAGGGAAGAACAAGCAAUACGGGUAAAUAUUCGUAUGCCCUGACGGUACCUUUACAGAAAGCCCCGGCUAACUCCGUGCCAGCAGCCGCGGUAAUACGGAGGGUGCGAACGUUGUCCGGAAUCACUGGGCGUAAAGAGCAUGUAGGCGGCUCGUUAAGUCAGAUGUGAAAUCCCGCGGCUCAACCGCGGAACAGCAUUUGAAACUGGCAGGAUCGAAUACGGUAGAGGGUUGUAGAAUACCACGUGUAGAGGUGAAAUUCGUAGAUAUCUGGUAGAAUACCGGUGGCGAAGGCGGCAACCUGGACCGAUAUUGGCGCUGAGAUGCGAAAGCGUGGGUAGCGAACAGGAUUAGAUACCCUGGUAGUCCACGCCGU